CAAUAGCAUAUAUUAACGUUGUUGCAGUUGAAAAGCUCGUAGUUGAACUUUUGGUAGGAGCGACCUGGCCUUGGGCGCAUGCCCUUGUUUGCCGUGUGUCGUGUCUGGCCAUCCUUUUCCGCUUCGGCGGGAAUCUUUUACUGUGAGUAAACUGGAGUGCUCAAAACAAGACGUUUGUUUGGUACAUUAAAGCAUGGAAUAAUAAGAUAGGACCUGGUUACUAUUUUGUUGGUUUGCAUAGCUAGGUAAUGAUUAACAGGGACAGUUGGGGGUAUUCGUAUUUAAUUGUCAGAGGUGAAAUUCUUGGAUUUACGAAAGACGAACGACUGCGAAAGCAUUUACCAAGGAUGUUUUCAUUAA
Molecule: ribosomal RNA, 360 nt
Filed under: uncultured eukaryote
Lineage: Eukaryota
Description: partial 18S ribosomal RNA
Rfam family: Eukaryotic small subunit ribosomal RNA
Source: RNAcentral